RNAcentral lists this ribosomal RNA (509 nucleotides) under uncultured bacterium. Its description in RNAcentral is "bacterial SSU rRNA". It matches the Rfam family "Bacterial small subunit ribosomal RNA", at positions 19 to 518 of the family's 1533-position model. The record is from RNAcentral.
AUGGCUCAGGAUGAACGCUAGCUACAGGCUUAACACAUGCAAGUCGAGGGGCAGCAUUGGAGUAGCAAUACUCAGAUGGCGACCGGCGCACGGGUGAGUAACACGUAUCCAACCUGCCGCUUACUCGGGGAUAGCCUUUACGAAAGAAAGAUUAAUACCCGAUGGUAUAAAGAGUUCGCAUGUUCUCUUUAUUAAAGAAUUUCGGUAAGCGAUGGGGAUGCGUUCCAUUAGAUAGUUGGCGGGGUAACGGCCCACCAAGUCUACGGCGGAUAGGGGUUCUGAGAGGAAGGUCCCCCACAUUGGAACUGAGACACGGUCCAAACUCCUACGGGAGGCAGCAGUGAGGAAUAUUGGUCAAUGGACGAGAGUCUGAACCAGCCAAAAGUAGCGUGAAGGAUGACUGCCCUAUGGGUUGUAAACUUCUUUUAUAAGGGAAUAAAGUGAGGGACGUGUCCCUUUUUGUAUGUACCUUAUGAAUAAGGAUCGGCUAACUCCGUGCCAGCCGCUGC